This 429-nucleotide ribosomal RNA is filed under the name Gemmatimonadota bacterium. Its description in RNAcentral is "Gemmatimonadetes bacterium partial 16S ribosomal RNA". It matches the Rfam family "Bacterial small subunit ribosomal RNA", at positions 355 to 776 of the family's 1533-position model. The record is from RNAcentral. Lineage: Bacteria; Pseudomonadati; Gemmatimonadota.
UAGGGAAUCUUCGGCAAUGGACGAAAGUCUGACCGAGCAACGCCGCGUGAGUGAAGAAGGUUUUCGGAUCGUAAAACUCUGUUGUUAGAGAAGAACAAGGACGUUAGUAACUGAACGUCCCCUGACGGUAUCUAACCAGAAAGCCACGGCUAACUACGUGCCAGCAGCCGCGGUAAUACGUAGGUGGCAAGCGUUGUCCGGAUUUAUUGGGCGUAAAGCGAGCGCAGGCGGUUUCUUAAGUCUGAUGUGAAAGCCCCCGGCUCAACCGGGGAGGGUCAUUGGAAACUGGGAGACUUGAGUGCAGAAGAGGGGAGUGGAAUUCCAUGUGUAGCGGUGAAAUGCGUAGAUAUGUGGAGGAACACCAGUGGCGAAGGCGGCUCUCUGGUCUGUAACUGACGCUGGGGCUCGAAAGCGUGGGGAGCAAACAGG